GAUGAACGCUGGCGGCGUGCUUAACACAUGCAAGUCGAACGGAAAGGCUCCUGCUUGCAGGGGUACUCGAGUGGCGAACGGGUGAGUAACACGUGGGUGAUCUGCCCUGCACUUCGGGAUAAGCCUGGGAAACUGGGUCUAAUACCGGAUAGGACGAUGGUUUGGAUGCCAUUGUGGAAAGUUUUUUCGGUGUGGGAUGUGCUCGCGGCCUAUCAGCUUGUUGGUGGGGUAAUGGCCUACCAAGGCAUCGACGGGUAGCCGGCCUGAGAGGGUGUACGGCCACAUUGGGACUGAGAUACGGCCCAGACUCCUACGGGAGGCAGCAGCGGGGAAUAUUGCACAAUGGGCGCAAGCCCGAUGCAGCGACGCCGCGUGGGGGAUGACGGCCUUCGGGUUGUAAACUCCUUUCGCUAGGGACGAAGCGAAAGUGACGGUACCUGGAGAAGAAGCACCGGCUAACUACGUG
Molecule: ribosomal RNA, 466 nt
Filed under: uncultured bacterium
Lineage: Bacteria
Description: partial 16S ribosomal RNA
Rfam family: Bacterial small subunit ribosomal RNA
Source: RNAcentral